UCAGGUAACAUCAAAUCGUACCCCAAACCGACACAGGUGGUCAGGUAGAGAAUACCAAGGCGCUUGAGAGAACUCGGGUGAAGGAACUAGGCAAAAUGGUGCCGUAACUUCGGGAGAAGGCACGCUGACACGUAGGUGAAGUGGUUUACCCAUGGAGCUGAAGUCAGUCGAAGAUACCAGCUGGCUGCAACUGUUUAUUAAAAACACAGCACUGUGCAAACACGAAAGUGGACGUAUACGGUGUGACGCCUGCCCGGUGCCGGAAGGUUAAUUGAUGGGGUCAGCGCAAGCGAAGCUCCUGAUCGAAGCCCCGGUAAACGGCGGCCGUAACUAUAACGGUCCUAAGGUAGCGAAAUUCCUUGUCGGGUAAGUUCCGACCUGCACGAAUGGCGUAAUGAUGGCCAGGCUGUCUCCACCCGGGACUCAGUGAAAUUGAACUCGCUGUGAAGAUGCAGUGUACCCGCGGCAAGACGGAAAGACCCCGUGAACCUUUACUAUAGCUUGACACUGAACACUGGUCCUUGAUGUGCAGGAUAGGUGGGAGGCUUUGAAGUGUGGACGCCAGUCUGCAUGGAGCCAUCCUUGAAAUACCACCCUUUAAUGGCUGGUGUUCUAACGUGGGCCCGUGAACCGGGUUGCGGACAGUGUCUGGUGGGUAGUUUGACUGGGGCGGUCUCCUCCUAAAGAGUAACGGAGGAGCACGAAGGUUGGCUAAUCCUGGUCGGACAUCAGGAGGUUAGUGCAAUGGCAUAAGCCAGCUUGACUGCGAGCGUGACGGCGCGAGCAGGUGCGAAAGCAGGUCAUAGUGAUCCGGUGGUUCUGAAUGGAAGGGCCAUCGCUCAACGGAUAAAAGGUACUCCGGGGAUAACAGGCUGAUACCGCCCAAGAGUUCAUAUCGACGGCGGUGUUUGGCACCUCGAUGUCGGCUCAUCACAUCCUGGGGCUGAAGUAGGUCCCAAGGGUAUGGCUGUUCGCCAUUUAAAGUGGUACGCGAGCUGGGUUUAGAACGUCGUGAGACAGUUCGGUCCCUAUCUGCCGUGGGCGCUGGAAGAUUGAGGGGGGCUGCUCCUAGUACGAGAGGACCGGAGUGGACGCAUCACUGGUGUUCGGGUUGUCAUGCCAAUGGCACUGCCCGGUAGCUACAUGCGGAAGAGAUAAGUGCUGAAAGCAUCUAAGCACGAAACUUGCCCCGAGAUGAAUCUUCCCUGAGCCUUUAAGGCUCCUGAAGGAACGUUGAAGACGACGACGUUGAUAGGCCGGGUGUGUAAGCGCAGCGAUGCGUUGAGCUAACCGGUACUAAUGAACCGUGAGGCUUAACCUU
Molecule: ribosomal RNA, 1321 nt
Filed under: Salmonella enterica
Lineage: Bacteria; Pseudomonadati; Pseudomonadota; Gammaproteobacteria; Enterobacterales; Enterobacteriaceae
Description: partial 23S ribosomal RNA
Rfam family: Bacterial large subunit ribosomal RNA
Source: RNAcentral